This is a long non-coding RNA of Cryptotermes secundus, 1376 nucleotides long. RefSeq lists it as uncharacterized. Lineage: Eukaryota; Metazoa; Arthropoda; Insecta; Blattodea; Kalotermitidae. The transcript is spliced from 2 exons. The record is from RefSeq and is a predicted model, not a curated record.
AUUCCUAUUGAAUAGGAGGCUGGGUGGGCCCCAGAACCGGUCUAGACAACAUAGAGAAGAGAAAAUACUUGCCCCUACAGGGAUUCGAAUUCCGGCCGUCCAGCUCCUAGCCAGUUGCUAUACCGACUGAAAUGUCCCGGCUCCAAACAUGUUAUGGACUCUUUCAAAAUAUGAUAAAUGUUUUAUUCUGGGAUGUACCACCGUGAAGUCUGAUAGAAUUUACCGAUGUUUCAGAGGAACCCAGCAUCUUUCGGUCUUAAGGUCUAAGAAGAAAGCUUACACCUCUUAUCAGGCCAUGCAAGUUUCCUUCCAUAUCCGUUCUAAUUUAUUAUUCAUGAAAUAUUCUAAUAUUCGGUUGUAUUUAUAUAUGAGUGAUUCAGAGCUUUGUUACAUAAUCCGUAAAUUAGUAUCUUUAUUGAAAUACAUAAUUACAAUUUGCACAGCAUUAGUAAGAUUGUUAUGCUUAACGUAGGUGUUGUAAAUACUAUGUUCACUAACGGUUAGCAUAUGCAACUUCAGAUCUUAAUGUGUAAUCACUUCUUAUUCACAGCCUCACACGCAAACUCGUGUUAAAAAUCUUAACUUAAAAGAAGAAAAAAACGUUAAUUUUAAGAUUUUAACACAGGAUUCCAUGUAAGACUGUGAGCAAGAAGCUCAAAAUAAGCGAUGUGCAAUAGGAUGCUUAAUGACUAAGAUAUUUUCAAAUGAAAUGCGUGCAAUAUAUUUUGAAAUACAAUGAAAACUUGGGAAAAUUCCAACCGCCUUCUAAAAGGGCCUGCAGCUUCUUUGUCACGUAAAUUAUGAAGAAGUGUCACACAAUAGAAAGACAAGUUCACCUUCUCAUUCUUGUUUUCUUGUAGAUUACUCACAUCAGAGUUGCUGCUCCUGAGAAACUGCCUCUGUGUACCACUGUCCACUACAUCUUGCAAAAGCCGAAAACAGACAAGCCUGAAAGAGGGUGAGUGGCCGUUUGACCGGUGUCUACCCCCUAAACAGAAGGUAGAGGGGGUGCACCAAACCGUGAUGCUGCAACAAGCAUCUCUGCAGCUCCAGCUUAUGGCUGCAGAGACGAUGCAAGCAGAGGCAGUCUUCCCGCUCUGGACCAACUGUUUACUACUCACCAAACAAGCUUACCAACCCAUUCCAACAACAUCUCAUUCUAUAUGUAGUUUGCAGAAGAUGAUGUUCCCACGUUCUGAGAGUUGUUGAGACGAGAUAAGACACCGCAAAAGCUGUCAGGACACCAAGAUAGAUCAUUAGGUGAAAGGAACUGACAUCGUGUAGUCCUGUAGGGGAUAAAGCCAGUGUCUCGGAAGGAGACUUUCUACCAAAUUAUACUGUGUCUUGUCUCCAAAAAUUAUAUAUAUAGUAAUGUA